CAGAAGCAGAAGUGAGAAAAGGACCAUGGACAAUGGAAGAAGAUCUUAUUCUUAUCAACUAUAUCGCCAACCACGGCGAUGGUGUUUGGAAUUCUCUCGCCAAAUCUGCAGGUUCGUUUAAUUUCUUCUUAAAAUCAAAUUCAAUUAUGAUUUAUUCACUAAUCAAUUAUGAUAUAUACACACAUAUAUUUGUAUGAACUAGGGUUUCUUCAUAACAUGCAAAAGUACGUAUAUCUUAUACGACAAAAAAUACUUUUUCUUACGUUCAUUUCUUUCAUAUAUAUAAAGAUUUAUAUACACAGAUAUAAAUCUUAUUUUCAUAACUAUAACUUUUAUUUAAACGUAUAUAUGCUCUAUUAUAUUCGUUCUUUGUUAAAGAAUCAGUCUACAUCUAAAAACGUUUUCAUGUGUUGGAUGAUGCUUUAUGAUGGCCUAGUGGUAGAGUAAAAUUAUGUAAAAUAAUAUUUAAGAAAAAACAUCAACAAAUGGUACACGUAUUUAAUUUCUACUCAUAUGUCAUACGUGGUAUUACUUAAUUAUAAUUAUGUGAAUAUAUGCACGUAGUACGAAUCAUAUUGAUUGAUUGGUAAAAUGAAUGUAUAGGUCUAAAACGCACCGGAAAAAGUUGCCGGCUCCGGUGGCUGAACUAUCUCCGCCCCGACGUACGACGGGGAAACAUCACGCCAGAGGAGCAACUUAUCAUCAUGGAACUUCAUGCUAAGUGGGGAAACAGGUUGGUUUUAAUUUACUUGAUGUAGAAUAUAUAUAAACAAUUAUAUAUACAUAUAUAUGUGUAACGAGAGAAAAGGACAAACAAAGGCAAAUUCUUCCAACUUUGAAUCGUUUAUAUACUCUUGAAGCUGCCUAUAUGCCACGUAAAUCUUUGAAAAGACAAGAAAGCGAGACAUUUGGUGACUAAAGCAAAAAGUGUUUGUUUCCUUUGUGAUAAGCUUGAUCGAAGAAGUUUGUUCUUAGACGUAGCUAAGAGUUUUUUGCACGUGUCGAAAUUUCUUAGCCACUAACAUUAAACCUCGUGGGUUUUAUCAAAAUAACAUUUAAAACUCGUGCCUAUUUCUCCUUCAUACUCAUGCGUCAUGGCUAGAUUUUUUCCCCAAUUUUUUCCUUUUCUUUGAAGUAUAAGUGUGUCAAAUUUAUUCAAGUGAUUUCCCACGUUUCUGGAAGAUAUACAUUCGCGGCCUUGUAUUUCUUUGUCUGUAUAUUUUAUUCGAUUUCUAUUUUUAUUUGUUUUAUAUGUAUAGAGCUGAAAAUAUGGCCAAAAGUACAAAGUACAUAUGAUUCUCUAAUUCAACAAAUUAGAUGGUAUAUUUUGUUUUUAAGUAAAUGC
Molecule: long non-coding RNA, 1345 nt
Filed under: Arabidopsis lyrata
Lineage: Eukaryota; Viridiplantae; Streptophyta; Magnoliopsida; Brassicales; Brassicaceae
Description: long non-coding RNA (ALYR_LNC001588)
Source: RNAcentral